Long non-coding RNA from Dinoponera quadriceps, 3191 nucleotides. RefSeq lists it as uncharacterized. The transcript has 2 exons. Lineage: Eukaryota; Metazoa; Arthropoda; Insecta; Hymenoptera; Formicidae. The record is from RefSeq and is a predicted model, not a curated record.
ACGUGUGAGAAAAAUACUUGGCCGGCGCGGUGAAGAACGAGGUAACAAAGAAUACGAGAAGAGCAAUGAGAAAUGUUGAGGCUAAUUGCAAGGUACAGGAAGUGUGGCAUAAGAGCCUAGUGUUCACAUCUCCACUGACAGAUGGCGCGCGAGUAUGCUCCUUGGUGUCUCGUUUGUCGAUACUCCCGACUUUAAAAAUGCUUUUAGGUUAUACCGAUAACUUGACAUGUUAUUGAGUCGCAGCGUGACCCGGGGGAAAACGUGUCUUCAAUUUGAAGCAAUUAGCUUACUGGUUACAGAAAAUAUUGAGAUCACUUCCCGAAAAUAUUGAAAGCAACUUAUUGAAAGCAUGCCUCGACGUUGCCAGGCUAUAAUCGACAGUGCAGGAAAAACUGGACAUCAUAUUAGGUGACACAAGCAGUACGCUCUUGUGCCACUUACUGUACAAGCCUGAAACAUCCUUGAGGAAUAUUUUCAAAUAUAAACAGAUAAUGUGCGUGCGCAUGUAUGCUAAGACAAAUAUCUCUUAGAACGUGUAUAUCUAAUUGAAGAUACGCAACUAAUUUUAUCUUUUUUUUUUCAGGAAACUUAGAAAAGUUUCUGAUAUUUCUGACCGAUAAAGAUCAACUUGAAAGGAUGCUACAACCAUUUCAAACUUAAAAAUGUAUUAUAUCCGUAUUAUUGUGUAAUGUAUGAUAUUAACGAUCGCAAUAUAUGAAUGAAUAUUUCUCCUAAAUUCUAGAAAGUUAAGAAUUCCACUCUCAAUAUUACCAGUCGAUAAUCUGACUAUUAUCUUUAACGCCAAUAUCUUUUUCCGCGAAUAUAACAUCGAGAUUCAUCUCUUACUUUAAUACGCGACGUAAGAUCCAACUGAAUUCCGUCAUUGAGGAAAAUAAGCAUAUUUAUCCAACUGCUUUCUCGAAAUGAGGAUGCUUGUAUAAUUAAAUAUCCGAUUGCUUGUCUUGACGAACGAGGAAAGUGCGGUCACACUUCCUUGAUGUAACGUGCAACAAAUUGUUAUACCUUCAACGACGAUUACUGUCGGACGUAUAAUUUUUAAGCACAGACAUCCUUUUUCUUCCACAAAAACAGAUUGAAUCUCAAUGGACAGCUCUUGCACCGUGUCGCAAAUUAUAAGACGUGUUUUAGAAAGAGGAGCAGGGUCGCGAAUUUGGGCGUAAACUGUGCGAGGCGUUCGCUGGUAGUUCGCAUUUAUUAAACAGAGAGGACCGAGUAAGUUUUUCCCGUAACAAAACUGUCGAGACAAUAGUUUUUGCUACAACUGGUCAAAAUAGCAAUUUGGACGAAAUUGAGCGUUGAGAGGUGAAGAAGAGACGCACUUGAAGCGCGACUUGUGGCGCGGCUCCUAUCACUUUCCAGUUAAUCUCUAGUGAACAUUGAAAUCUCGAGAGCCGAGAAUUAAUCACAUAUACACGGCGGAACGUUUAAGAUCGUCUAGACAAUCUCCCCUCCAAGGGAGUCGACGUCCGUCCAAUUGUAUUUUGACGAAGAGAGAAUCACUUGGUUGGACAGUGUGUAUGUGUGUGUGUGUCGCCCCCGAAGAAAAAAAAUAUAUAAGCGCGGGACAGCAAUGCGCGCGACGUAAAUCUAAAAGAUUCUCCGACGUUCCUUUUCUACUCGGAGGGUUGAGAGAGACGCAACAAUGAUCCAACACCGGGGCGCUUCGUAAUAUAAACAUUUUUCUUAUUCAAACGUAUGUUCUUACAUUUACACAGUACAAAAAAUUAUACUCAGACCUGCCGGCCCGCGGUUCAUAACUGCUAUGACUGGGGGCGGCCGGUACUUGUGGGAGGGGGGAUAGCGCGGGACUUCUUAUUUUCUUUCUUUCUUUUUCCCUUCAUCCUUUUUUUCCAGGGGGUGGAUGUCUCUCGUGGGGAUUCUCGUAAGAUCUGUACAUUGUUUUUUUUUAUACUAUCCGUUCCACUCCGCCCCCAAUACACGGCCCCUUGUGUUCUCACGUGCGUACUUUUUCGCAUUUUCACUGGAUUGCCCACGCACACGUACGGUUUUUCUUUCUCCUCUCUUUCACUCGCGACACACAUGCAACACGCACGCACGCAUACAAACCGUCUUCCUCUCUCUUUCUCUCUCUCUCUCUCUCUUUCCUUCUUUCUCGCGACUUCAAGCAUCGUUUUAACUCACCCACAAUUUUUUUCUUUUUAAUCAUUUACACUCGCAGCUCGUGCUACUCUUCGCUCUCGCUAGUUCGCUCGCUUACUCUCUCUCUCUCUUUCUCUCUCUCUCUCUCUCUCUCUCUCUCGCGUUUUCUCUCUCUCGGCAUAUUUAGCAACAUUUAAAUAUCGUAUUUUCCGUAAUAAUUAAUCGUAAUAAUGAUAAUAAUAUAAUAAUAAUAAUGGCAUAAUAAACUAUCUACCUACGCGUGUAAAGUGGUAUUUUUCCAUGGUUUCGUAAAGGGGUGUGUACUGCUUAUCAUCAUAAUCCUAGACUUCCCUCUUUCGUAUUUAUAUAUGUAUAUAUAUACGGAUGUAUAAAUGUAUUAUGUACAUACACAUAGCAAUAGAGAACAAACAAUAGCUUCUCGUUUGCAGCAAUAAUACACAGAAAUAUGUCUUCCUAGAGAACUUUAUACACCGCCGUCCGUGGAGUAAUAACGGUACUUCUUCCUUCUUCUUCUUUUUUUUUGUUGCUUGUUAUGUUUGUUGUUUGUUGUUGUUAUACAAUUUCCAUAAUCGUUAACGCGCGCGCGUACUUAUCAACACUAAGAUAUUUUAAAAAUGUAUUCGUUAAAUAUUAUUUUAAUCAAGUCGUUGUAUGCUAGACGAAUGUUGAGAUCAAAGAAAUUGCGGAUUUCAGGAUGCCAGUGAUUUCUAACUCUUUUUCUUUUCCCCUCGUUUCGGUUCGUCCGUUCAUCCAUUUGCUUUUUUUCCCGAUAUUUUCUUUCGUUUACGUGUGUCAUCAUCGGUGUCGAUGAUUGUUAUAACCAGCCGUAAUAUAAUCGACGAUCGAGCGGCGCGUAGAAUGGCGCAAAACGACGCUAAGUAGAUACGCCCGAUUCGAGAGCUGCUGUUUCUCAGGUUUGCUAAAAGAAGAAAGGAAAUCACGAACGCAAAAGUCGGAAAGAAUCUCUAGUAGUUACGCUCGCUUGUUUGCGCUUGCUUGCUUGCUUGAGCAAUGUCUAUCGAACGAAGAAUCUUGCGAGAUAAAGAAAC